Molecule: ribosomal RNA, 506 nt
Filed under: uncultured bacterium
Lineage: Bacteria
Description: partial 16S ribosomal RNA
Rfam family: Bacterial small subunit ribosomal RNA
Source: RNAcentral
GAUGAACGCUAGCUACAGGCUUAACACAUGCAAGUCGAGGGGUAACGAGAGGAAAGCUUGCUUUCCUUGUCGACGACCGGCGCACGGGUGAGUAACGCGUAUCCAACCUGCCCCCAACUAGGGAAUAACCUUGCGAAAGUAAGACUAAUACCCUAUAAUUUCCUCAGAAGUCAUCUGACGAGGAAUAAAGAUUUAUCGGUUGUGGAUGGGGAUGCGUCUGAUUAGCUUGUUGGCGGGGUAACGGCCCACCAAGGCAACGAUCAGUAGGGGUUCUGAGAGGAAGGUCCCCCACAUUGGAACUGAGACACGGUCCAAACUCCUACGGGAGGCAGCAGUGAGGAAUAUUGGUCAAUGGGCGGAAGCCUGAACCAGCCAAGUAGCGUUCAGGAUGACGGCCCUAUGGGUUGUAAACUGCUUUUAUACAGGAAUAAAGUUAGCCACGUGUGGUUAUUUGUAGGUACUGUAUGAAUAAGGACCGGCUAAUUCCGUGCCAGCCGCCGCAGUAA